AGAGUUUGAUCCUGGCUCAGGAUGAACGCUAGCGGCAGGCUUAACACAUGCAAGUCGAGGGGUAGAGGUUGCUUGCAACCUUGAGACCGGCGCACGGGUGCGUAACGCGUAUGCAACCUACCUUUUACAGAGGGAUAGCCCAGAGAAAUUUGGAUUAAUACCUCAUAGUAUAUAUCUUUCGCAUGUUAGGUAUAUUAAAGUUCCAACGGUAAAAGAUGGGCAUGCGUCCUAUUAGCUAGAUGGUAAGGUAACGGCUUACCAUGGCUACGAUAGGUAGGGGUCCUGAGAGGGAGAUCCCCCACACUGGUACUGAGACACGGACCAGACUCCUACGGGAGGCAGCAGUGAGGAAUAUUGGACAAUGGGCGCAAGCCUGAUCCAGCCAUGCCGCGUGCAGGAAGAAGCAUCUAUGGUGUGUAAACUGCUUUUGUACAGGAAGAAACAUCCCGACGUGUCGGGACUUGACGGUACUGUAAGAAUAAGGAUCGGCUAACUCCGUGCCAGCAGCCGCGGUAAUACGGAGGAUCCAAGCGUUAUCCGGAAUCAUUGGGUUUAAAGGGUCCGUAGGCGGUUUGGUAAGUCAGUGGUGAAAGCCCGCAGCUCAACUGUGGAACGGCCAUUGAUACUGCCAGACUUGAAUUACAAGGAAGUAACUAGAAUGUGUAGUGUAGCGGUGAAAUGCUUAGAUAUUACAUGGAAUACCAAUUGCGAAGGCAGGUUACUACUUGUGGAUUGACGCUGAUGGACGAAAGCGUGGGGAGCGAACAGGAUUAGAUACCCUGGUAGUCCAA
Molecule: ribosomal RNA, 791 nt
Filed under: uncultured bacterium
Lineage: Bacteria
Description: bacterial SSU rRNA
Rfam family: Bacterial small subunit ribosomal RNA
Source: RNAcentral